GCAUUGGUCGUUCAAUGGUAGAAUUCUUGUCUCCCAUGCAGGAGACCCAGGGUUGACUCCUGGCCAGUGUA
This 71-nucleotide transfer RNA is filed under the name Loxodonta africana (African savanna elephant). It matches the Rfam family "tRNA". From Rfam's summary of the family: Transfer RNA (tRNA) molecules are approximately 80 nucleotides in length. Their secondary structure includes four short double-helical elements and three loops (D, anti-codon, and T loops). Lineage: Eukaryota; Metazoa; Chordata; Mammalia; Proboscidea; Elephantidae. The record is from Rfam by way of RNAcentral.